GCUGUAGCCUAAUGGUAGAGGAUCUCUUUUGCAUGCAGAAGGUCCCAGGUUCAAUCCCAGGCAUCUCCA
This is a non-coding RNA of Podarcis lilfordi (Lilford's wall lizard), 69 nucleotides long. The record is from the annotation of a GenBank genome assembly. NCBI's taxonomy places the organism in Eukaryota, Metazoa, Chordata, Lepidosauria, Squamata, Lacertidae.